Non-coding RNA from Phascolarctos cinereus (koala), 3191 nucleotides. The record is from RefSeq and is a predicted model, not a curated record. NCBI's taxonomy places the organism in Eukaryota, Metazoa, Chordata, Mammalia, Diprotodontia, Phascolarctidae.
UUUGUAUUUGAAUCAUAUAUAUCCCGAGGGUUCCCAGAAGUUUCCAAAGGAGCUCCAGCACAAGUUGAACGGGAGGGCCCCUACAGGCCCAUUUCCAUGCAUCUUCCAUGGGUUAUAACCUCCCAUAUAGACUCUCCAUUGCACUUUAUUACAAGUAAAAUUUCAAUUCUGGCAAUGGUAAGAAAGAGGUCAAGUCAAGAAAAUGGGCUGAAGGUAAUAGGAUUUAGAACUCAAGACUGCCUGGAAAGAACGUUCUUGCAGAAGAGAAAGCACCAACCCAUGAAAUCAUGGAUCUCUGAAGAUACAAUUGAGGAGGAGGAAGAAAAAAAGGAGAGAGAUAAAGCAGGAAAAGAAGAGAGAGAAGGAAGAGGAAGAGGAGGAACUUUUGGAUAUGGUAAGUACACUGAAUCCUCCUUUCGUUUUCUCUAUAAAAAUAAGAAAUAAAGGAAACAAAAUGGUUCUGCCUCUGAAGAGAAAAAUUCCUCUUUUGACUCAGAUUCAAGAAGUCUGAGGAGCACUGCUCUAGAGCCUUCCACUAGGAAAAGCCGGAAUAAGCACACGGACUGUAUCCAAAGAGAGGUCUAUGUUUUAAAGGUUUCCACAAGCAACAAAAACAAUUCUUUCCUUCCUUUCCCCCCUUCCCCCAUCACUGUACCCAAGGCCAUGGCUCAUCCUGGGACUCUGGCCUUAAAUUUCAGUUGCAAAAUAGUUACAUCUCAAAUUCCAAAGUGAGAAGCCACCAAAUGCUGUCUCUUUCCUUGAAAAGCAGGACAGCUGCCCUAGCUGAUAGACUGUACAUUUCCAAGCUACUGCCUGAAGAGCAAAAACAAGACCUUGGUAAAAUUAAAUUAAGUGCCAUUAAGGGUACAUCUAACUUGCUAAAAUUGCAAAGGGUAUAGACAGAAAAUAUGGAAAGAAAGAGAUAUAAAUUUGUGCUUUACACUAAAUCCCCAAAAUACUUCAACUAAGGGGCUGCCUCCCUCCCCCGGGAGUUUGGAAGAGGUAGUUUUAAGGUAAGUGCUCAGCCAACGGAACUUUGGGAAAUUAUGGAACAUUUUAACUGAAAUUUUGACUGAAAAGUCAGUUGGCAAAUGUGUCAUAGGUUAAGGGAUGAGUACUGAGCAGCUGGGGAAGUACAGGGAAAUAUCUAGAGGACAGUGGCAAGGAGAAAGACUUGGAUGGGUCUAAGACAAGUGGAUUUCUGCGUGUAGAUGGACUUUGCUUUCAGUUUCUCUUAGCACAUGGCAGGGCCUUGCAAAAUGACAAAGACAACUGAGAAGACAAGGAAUGUGCCAAUUUUGCUUCAUAUCCCAAGAUCUAGUACAGUGAGCAUAACAUAGUAUUUGCUUAAUAAAUACUGGCUGAUGGAUUGUUUGCAUUAUCCUAGGAGGAUAAAAGGCUGAAAGCACACAGUCAAUAAACUAAACUUUUGUUCUGGAGUUCCCAGUGACUAACCCCUCAGUGUAUCUAUCAGCUGUGGAAAAUGGGCUGAGUAUGCCAUAUCACUUAGCCACAAGGGUAAGUUGAUUAGGUAUCAAAAAGAAAUGAAAAAAAAAAACACUUGUCUUUUGAAAAACUGAAGUUGGUCAAUGCAAUCCCUGUAUGUUCACAUCAGCCUCUUUAGACAACUCCUUAGUUAGACUAGAUAAUUGCUGAGAUCCUUUCUAAUCCUAAAUCCUAAGAGAAGGGGAAGGGAUUGUACAAAUUUUGACAGGUUCAAGGCUAGGGGACAGCAUUCCUGUGAGGUUCAUCCAUUUUCUAUAUUUCCCAGAUGUUUCUGAGUGUUCUUUUUAAGAAGACCUUAUCCCUGGGAGAGCUACUGCUCUGAUCAUAUGGGACUUGGCAGGUAGAACAGCUAACCGCAGCUAUAGCUUGUGAAGAACAACACAAUUAUGUUGGGGCCAUUUGGGUGUUUGAAGCUAAGGUAGUUUCAGUAUUUCUAGUCCUGACUUUUAAAGGCUUUGAUUGUUCUGCUGUAAAGAAUUUUCUUGGAGUAGAAGCUUUUUUUUUUUUUAAAGUGAAUUUUGUUUCUCUGCUAUGGGAGUUUAUACCUUGAAAUUCUGAAAAGGAGGUGGAUAGGGGGUAUUUAACUUGUAAAAUGAAACCGAGAGAGAAAGCUUUAGCUGGAUCCAAUGAACACAAUAAUACUCAUGCAUUGGGAUAACUAAAAAGCUGCUCUGAAUAAAGAAAUUAAAUGUGACUGGUACAUAAGUUCAAAAUGAGAUUGAGUCCUCCAGGCAAUGUAGGAAAAGGAAGAAAAAAAUGACAGGCAGCUGGUACAUUUGCUGACCACUGAGAGCCCAUACAGUAUGGACACAAUCUUUCUGGGAAGUUUAGGGCAGACUGGCUUUGGGUUAGACGGUGAACUCAAAUAGUUGGCCAAGACUUAGUAUUCUGGGAAUUUGGACAAUUUCUUUCUUAUGGGCCUCCUAAGGCUCUAGAAUGAUAUAGAUGGGAGAGACUUAAGAACAAGGAAAUGUUAGAAUGUAGGCUAUAGAAUGACAUGUGUCCAGGUCCUUAGAGGUCUCCUUCAACUCCUUCAUUUGAGGGGAAUGAUCCCUGAGGUGGUUAAAUAACUUGGGCAAAGGCACACCAUGAGUAAGAGGUAAGGCUAGGACUGGCACCCAAAGCUUCUGAUUCCUAAUCCAGGGUUUUAAGGCAAAACACAAGUCUGUUGCCAUAGGGUACUAGUUUGCUGCCAGGGUAAAGAAGGAUGGCUUUGGAGUCGGAGGACCUGGGUCCAAAAUCAGGCUCUGCCACUUCCUCCCUGUAGGGCCUGGUAUAAAUCCCUUAGCCUCUUUGGGCUAAAGUUCCUUUGUCUGUAAAAUGGGAGGUUUGGACGGGGUUACCUUUAAAUACCUUUUAUGAGCUAAGUGAAGACCAUGGAAUGUUUAGAGAAAGGUCUUGAAGGAUUUUACUUUUUUUUUUUUGUCAAAGAGAAAUAAUCAGUGGAAAGAACACUGGAUUUGGGUCUCCCAAAAUUUGGGCUCAUGAUCUUUUUAACUUUUUAACUAGUGACCUUGGACAACUGAUUUAACUCUCUAAGCCUCCAUUUCCUCCCCUGUGAAAUGAGGAUAACUGUCUUCAAGUCCCUGAAAGGCUGUGACAUGAAAGGAAUAGAUUUAUUCUGCUUGGGUGGAAUUCAGAUUUUAUGUAAGGAAAAAAAAACCCCACUUCUUCACUUUGUUGCU